RNAcentral lists this long non-coding RNA (236 nucleotides) under Carica papaya (papaya). RNAcentral describes it as "long non-coding RNA (CPAP_LNC006081)". Lineage: Eukaryota; Viridiplantae; Streptophyta; Magnoliopsida; Brassicales; Caricaceae. The record is from RNAcentral.
UGCCUUUAACAUUGCACUUGGUCUUAAAGAUCCAUUUAUAGAUGAUGUUUUUAUAAUUAUCAGGCAAUUAAAUAAGAUCCCAAAUACUGUUAUGAUCCAUAGAUUUCAAUUCUUCUUUCAUAACUUCUAUUCAUUUAUUAGAAUCAUCAGUUUCCAUGGCUUGUGAAAAUGAAAUCAGAUCUUUUCUUAUCUCAAUAUCAAAAUAUUCUUGUAGAUGUACUACAUAAUCAUCUAAU